This is a long non-coding RNA of Cannabis sativa, 535 nucleotides long. RefSeq lists it as uncharacterized. NCBI's taxonomy places the organism in Eukaryota, Viridiplantae, Streptophyta, Magnoliopsida, Rosales, Cannabaceae. The transcript has 4 exons. The record is from RefSeq and is a predicted model, not a curated record.
GUUUGUUUGUUGUUGUUGUUGAUGAUGGUUCUUCUCAGGCCAAUUUUCUAGGAAGACUGGUGGACUCUAAUGCGCCAGUAUAAGAGAAGACGUUGGAUGAUUUAUGAAGAAAUUAAUAAUUUGGGCUCCAGCAUGCUUUUUCAGUCAUAAUUUGGUACUUGCUUACCAACUAUGGUAGUGGGAUCUUAUACAUAUGUUAUUCCCACAACUUCUAUCCUUUUAUCUACGAGAUACAACACAAUCCCAGACCUAAAUGAGAGGUUUGUACAAUGAAGGUAUAAAGGGUUCUUUAAUCAUAACAAUGAGAGAUUCUUGCCAAAAAUUACUGAGUCCCUAUAUAUAUGUUCUCCUUGAAAGCGGUGCAGAUAUUGAGACAAGAAUUGAGCAGGUUGAAGUUUUUUCCAGCUGCAAUCAUUUUUUUUUUUCAAAUUCUGAUUUCUGGUUUCAGGUACUCUUUUAAUUUUCUUGUUAUUAUUCUUAAUUUCAAAUUUAGCUUCGUAUGUUAUUAAAUUAUUGAAGCUUACGUGUUUGUUAA